Molecule: small nuclear RNA, 56 nt
Organism: Nannospalax galili (Upper Galilee mountains blind mole rat)
Lineage: Eukaryota; Metazoa; Chordata; Mammalia; Rodentia; Spalacidae
Source: Ensembl
GUGCUCGCUUCAGCAGCACAUAUACUAAAAUUGGAAUGAUACAGAGAAGAUUAGCA